RNAcentral lists this ribosomal RNA (397 nucleotides) under uncultured bacterium. Its description in RNAcentral is "bacterial SSU rRNA". It matches the Rfam family "Bacterial small subunit ribosomal RNA", at positions 28 to 429 of the family's 1533-position model. The record is from RNAcentral.
AUUGAACGCUGGCGGCAUGCUUUACACAUGCAAGUCGAGCGGCAGCGCGGGGGCAACCCUGGCGGCGAGCGGCGAACGGGUGAGUAAUGCAUCGGAACGUACCCUGGAGUGGGGGAUAACGCCGCGAAAGCGGCGCUAAUACCGCAUAUGCUCUGAGGAGGAAAGCGGGGGCUCGCAAGACCUCGCGCUCUGGGAGCGGCCGAUGUCCGAUUAGCUAGUUGGUGGGGUAAAGGCUUACCAAGGCGACGAUCGGUAGCUGGUCUGAGAGGAUGAUCAGCCACACUGGGACUGAGACACGGCCCAGACUCCUACGGGAGGCAGCAGUGGGGAAUUUUGGACAAUGGGGGCAACCCUGAUCCAGCCAUGCCGCGUGAGUGAAGAAGGCCUCGGUUGUAAG